GGCUUCGCUCUUGCAAAGACCUGGGUAGCGGUGGCCAACGGCGGUCACCCCAAUCGACAAAGGCGUCAG
RNAcentral lists this non-coding RNA (69 nucleotides) under Pseudomonas sp. 313. RNAcentral's name for it is "narK RNA". It matches the Rfam family "narK RNA". The record is from RNAcentral. Lineage: Bacteria; Pseudomonadati; Pseudomonadota; Gammaproteobacteria; Pseudomonadales; Pseudomonadaceae.